This is a long non-coding RNA of Ooceraea biroi (clonal raider ant), 424 nucleotides long. RefSeq lists it as uncharacterized. Lineage: Eukaryota; Metazoa; Arthropoda; Insecta; Hymenoptera; Formicidae. The record is from RefSeq and is a predicted model, not a curated record.
UGCGCUUGAACGGCACGUUCUCAAAGCCGUUGUCGUACGAGCUAGUGCCGAGGACAGCGGCGACGGAAGAAGAAUGUGGCGAAGAUUGGAGUUCUUCAAAGACAUUCAGGAGAUUCGUACGGUGAUUAUUCCAGCGAAGGCGGUAUUGUUGAGACGAGGUAGUUUCCAUGAUGAGGUCCAAAAUUUAGUGACGAUUUGUCGCAAGAAUCUACAACCCAAGCAAAUAAUGCAACCGCGUUAUUAUAUAAAUAAAUACAUUUUAUUCAAUUUCUGAUGUAUAUGUAUCUUAUAAUCCUAAUAAUAAAUCUAAUAAUUUAUUAUUGUGAUUAUUUAUCAUAAUAUGUAUAAAGAUAACAAUAAUUCUAUUAAUCCCAUUAGUUAACAAAUUAGUAACACGUAUCAUUAAAUAGAGAUUAAAAUUUUG